CCUACGGGAGGCAGCAGUGAGGAAUAUUGGUCAAUGGGCGCGAGCCUGAACCAGCCAAGUAGCGUGAAGGAUGACUGCCCUACGGGUUGUAAACUUCUUUUAUAAAGGAAUAAAGUGAGGCACGUGUGCCUUUUUGGAUGUACUUUAUGAAUAAGGAUCGGCUAACUCCGUGCCAGCAGCCGCGGUAAUACGGAGGAUCAGGGCGUUAUCCGGAUUUAUUGGGUUUAAAGGGAGUGUAUAUGGGUUGUUAAGUCAGUUGUGAAAGUGUGCUGCUAAACCGUAAAAUUUCAAUUGAUACUGGCGGUUUGAGGUACGGUGGGGGUAGGCGAAAU
RNAcentral lists this ribosomal RNA (332 nucleotides) under uncultured bacterium. RNAcentral describes it as "partial 16S ribosomal RNA". It matches the Rfam family "Bacterial small subunit ribosomal RNA", at positions 338 to 667 of the family's 1533-position model. The record is from RNAcentral.